CGAGAAGUAUCUUCGGAUAUGAGUAGAGCGGCGGACGGGUGAGUAACGCGUAGGAAUCUACCUAGUAGAAGGGGAUAGCCCGGGGAAACUCGGAUUAAUACCGUAUACCUCCUUCGGGAGAAAGAAGGCCUCUCUUUGAAGCUUUCGCUAUUAGAUGAGCCUGCGUAAGAUUAGCUUGUUGGUGAGGUAAAGGCUCACCAAGGCUACGAUCUUUAGCUGGUCUGAGAGGACGAUCAGCCACAUUGGGACUGAGACACGGCCCAGACUCCUACGGGAGGCAGCAGUGGGGAAUAUUGGACAAUGGGCGCAAGCCUGAUCCAGCCAUACCGCGUGUGUGAAGAAGGCCUUCGGGUUGUAAAGCACUUUAAGCAGGGAGAAAAAGUUAUAGGUUAAUACCCUAUGACCUUGAUGUUACCUGCAGAAUAAGCACCGGCUAAUUCCGUGCCAGCAGCCGCGGUAAUACGGAAGGCGCAAGCGUUAAUCGGAAUUACUGGGCGUAAAGCGCGCGUAGGUGGUUUGUUAAGUUGGAUGUGAAAGCCCUGGGCUCAACCUAGGAACUGCAUCCAAAACUAACUCACUAGAGUACGAUAGAGGGAGGUAGAAUUCAUAGUGUAGCGGUGGAAUGCGUAGAUAUUAUGAAGAAUACCAGUGGCGAAGGCGGCCUCCUGGAUCUGUACUGACACUGAGGUGCGAAAGCGUGGGUAGCGAACAGGAUUAGAUACCCUGGUAGUCCACGCCGUAAACGAUGACAACUAGCUGUUGGGAGACUAUGUCUUUCAGUGGCGCAGCUAACGCUUUAAGUUGUCCGCCUGGGGAGUACGGCCGCAAGGCUAAAACUCAAAUGAAUUGACGGGGACCCGCACAAGCGGUGGAGCAUGUGGUUUAAUUCGAUGCAACGCGAAAAACCUUACCUACUCUUGACAUACUUGGAAGCUCUUGUAAUGAGAGUGUGCCUUUUGGAGCCAAGAUACAGGUGCUGCAUGGCUGUCGUC
This 992-nucleotide ribosomal RNA is filed under the name uncultured marine bacterium. RNAcentral's name for it is "bacterial SSU rRNA". It matches the Rfam family "Bacterial small subunit ribosomal RNA", at positions 67 to 1056 of the family's 1533-position model. The record is from RNAcentral.